RNAcentral lists this long non-coding RNA (290 nucleotides) under Ananas comosus (pineapple). RNAcentral's name for it is "long non-coding RNA (ACOM_LNC013967)". Lineage: Eukaryota; Viridiplantae; Streptophyta; Magnoliopsida; Poales; Bromeliaceae. The record is from RNAcentral.
AAGUUGAUACAACUUCAGAAAUCUCAAUGGAAGGGUAAGAAGAAUUGCAAAACCAACCCUUGGAGAAUUGGCUUUGAGUAGGACACUCAGGAUGACUCAAGGAAGGCUAACUAUCUCCCUCUGUAUAAGCAGAAAAGAAUGCAGGCUAACUAUCUCCCUCUGUAUAAGCAGAAAAGAAUGCAAGCUAACUAUCUCCCUCUGUAUAAGCAGAAAAGAAUGCAGAUGGUACUAAGAAAGUAAUUGAAGCUGUUGGCGAGAUGAAAACCGACACUGAAGUUUUACUCUCAAUU